Molecule: ribosomal RNA, 273 nt
Filed under: Triticum aestivum (bread wheat)
Lineage: Eukaryota; Viridiplantae; Streptophyta; Magnoliopsida; Poales; Poaceae
Description: partial small subunit ribosomal RNA
Source: RNAcentral
AUGAGUCUAUUCUCCUGGAAUUGUCGGGGGAUUGGCAACACCCCGACAAUUCAAGAAUUGCGUGAAUUCGCAAAUAAGUUUGCCCCUAAAGUACUUUGUAUAGUUGAAACCCAGUUGAGUGGGGAGAGAGUUGAAAAUCUGAAAAGUACUCUAGGUUUUGAUAGUUCUUUUGCUGUGGAUGCCUCCGGAAGAAGUGGAGGUUUAGAUUUGUUUUGGAAUAAUGAAAUAAACAUUGAGAUUUUUGGGCAACUCGAGGUAUCACAUCGAUGGUAA